This 84-nucleotide unclassified non-coding RNA is filed under the name Pseudomonas granadensis. Lineage: Bacteria; Pseudomonadati; Pseudomonadota; Gammaproteobacteria; Pseudomonadales; Pseudomonadaceae. The record is from RNAcentral.
UUUGACGCCAUCGCGAGCAGGCUCACUCCUACAGGGGAAACGCAUUCCAGAUGUAGGCGUGAGCCUGCUCGCGAUGGCGCCGUA